RNAcentral lists this ribosomal RNA (444 nucleotides) under uncultured bacterium. Its description in RNAcentral is "bacterial SSU rRNA". It matches the Rfam family "Bacterial small subunit ribosomal RNA", at positions 331 to 792 of the family's 1533-position model. The record is from RNAcentral.
CCAGACUCCUACGGGAGGCAGCAGUGGGGAAUAUUGCACAAUGGGGGAAACCCUGAUGCAGCGACGCCGCGUGAGCGAUGAAGUAUUUCGGUAUGUAAAGCUCUAUCAGCAGGGAAGAAAAUGACGGUACCUGACUAAGAAGCCCCGGCUAACUACGUGCCAGCAGCCGCGGUAAUACGUAGGGGGCAAGCGUUAUCCGGAUUCACUGGGUGUAAAGGGAGCGUAGACGGCCAUGCAAGCCAGGGGUGAAAGCCCGGGGCCCAACCCCGGGACUGCCCUUGGAACUGCAUGGCUGGAGUGCGGGAGGGGCAGGCGGAAUUCCUGGUGUAGCGGUGAAAUGCGUAGAUAUCAGGAGGAACACCGGUGGCGAAGGCGGCUUACUGGACUGUAACUGACGUUGAGGCUCGAAAGCGUGGGGAGCAAACAGGAUUAGAUACCCGAGUA